GAUGAGGUGGCCGAGUGGUUAAGGCGAUGGACUGCUAAUCCAUUGUGAUCUGCAUUCAUGGGUUCGAAUCCCAUCCUCAUCG
Molecule: transfer RNA, 82 nt
Filed under: Salmo salar (Atlantic salmon)
Lineage: Eukaryota; Metazoa; Chordata; Actinopteri; Salmoniformes; Salmonidae
Rfam family: tRNA
About the family: Transfer RNA (tRNA) molecules are approximately 80 nucleotides in length. Their secondary structure includes four short double-helical elements and three loops (D, anti-codon, and T loops).
Source: Rfam by way of RNAcentral